Molecule: long non-coding RNA, 1518 nt
Filed under: Marmota monax (woodchuck)
Lineage: Eukaryota; Metazoa; Chordata; Mammalia; Rodentia; Sciuridae
Source: RNAcentral
ACCCUCCCCACUGGAUCUAAAUCCCAGCAAACCAGACCGCACACCCACAGCCGCACCCCACCACCCACACCCAGGAAACAGCCUUUGAAAAUAAAAAUCAGUCGGGUGCAGUGGGGCACACCUGUCAUCUCAGCGGCUCAGGAGGCUGAGGCAGGAGGAUUGCAAGUUCGAGGCCAGCCUCAGUCACUUAGGAGACCCUAAACAACUUGGUGAGGCCCUGUCUCUAAAUAAAGAAUAAGAAGGGCUGGGACAUGGCUCAGGGGUUAAGUGCCCCCGAGUUCAAUCCCUGAUACCAAAUAAAUAAAGAAAAGGAAAGGAAACCCUCAUUCCUCACUCCCACAGUCUCUGGGCUCUGGCACCUCCCCACGCCAGCCCGGCCACGCUGGCCCCGUUCCUCCCUUCCUACCUUUGCAGGAGCCGUGCCCAGGGCUUGAGGGCUCUUGGCUCAGUUAGGGUCAGCUGAGCCAAUCCUUCCCGGCCACUUACACCUGAUGGCCUUAACUUGAGGUGCUCUCCUAGGUCCGAGGUCUGGGUGUUGUCGUCACCAUCAGACCCCCCACCCCAGGGCCAAACAUGGGUGAUUUCUGGGCACCAUGCAAACUGAGUUCCAGUGAGCCCCCUGCAGCGAGGACACCAGGACCUUGCUGUCUAAAGCCUUUAACUGAGCACUUACUAUGUGCCUGGGUUCUAGUGGCUCCCUGCCAUCCUUGGCUCUCCUGGGCUGGUGGACAGGGCUCCAGUCUCUGCCUUCUCCUGGUGUCCCUGUGUCCAAACAUCUCCCUUCUUAUGAGGGCAGUCCUGUGGGUCUGGGGGCCCACUGUAAUCCAGCAUGACCACAUUUAAACGUGAUCACAUCUGCAAAGACCCUGUUUCCAAGUAACGUCACACUCGUGGGUUCAGGGUGGACAUGAGUAUCAAGGGGACACUGUUCGUUUCAGCACAUCCCAUUCUUUCAGUGUACUGGAAGGGAUUCCAGAGGCACCGGCUUUUCCAAGACGCGCUGGAUCAACCGCACAGGAGAAGGCUCUGCGGUCUUGUGCAGGUGUGGCCGGGUGUCAGGUCGAGUUCACUGAGUCGCACAGACACUCCGCCCCAGCUCCGGUCCGUCUGCAUCCAUCUCCUACGACGUUCAAUACGUCUGUCCACCCAUGAACCAGAAACCCAGGAGCAGGCCCUGCCGCCGGCUCAGGGCGGACCAGCCAAGGAAAACUUGAUGAGAACGCACCUCGUGGUGGGAGACGGGCCCCAAAGAGUUUACAAUUAUUUUAUAAAAUAAUCAGAAUUAUUUUGAUCCUAAUUGUGUCACAAACAUUUGAUCAUAACUGUAUACAAUGUGUCAUCGGUUUCUGUUGUUUUGAUCAAUUGGAUGCCAAUAAUAAUUGCACUAACUUAAACCUGAAGAAGUCACUGUCUUUCCCAGGGCCCUGUAAACCCGGGAAAUGGAACAAGUAUGAAAACUUUAAAAAAGAUAUAGUUUGGGGCUGGGCUGGUGGCUCAGUGGUAGAGUGCUUGCGUGAC